UGUCAAUACACUUAAAAAUAGCUUCAAUUAAAUAAUAAUACAGUCUUGCUAAUAGUAAUAAACCUAACCUAAGGGUGACACACUAGUGACAGCUUUUGUAAUGUAGUUUUGCAAUUAACACAAUAAAAUAAGUACUCUUAAGAUAGACAAAAGCAACAAGUGAGUGUAGGAUGUGUAUUUUUGCUUCUUUUUCUAUUAAAACCAAGUCAGUACAUUACCUGUUUGGGUAUCUGGCCGAAGUUGUUGAUAAAGCCAAUGGUGGCGGUUUCUUUCAGAGGGUCAUUAAUGUUGUAGAUGUCCACCUGGCCCUCGUAGAAGAGGUGAUGGAACACAUUGACAGCCUCCACCGCUGGAGGACCUUGCUGUUUAAAGCCGAAGAUGAGGUCGAUCCAUUCGUGCAGAUUUCUCUCCAACCAAAGUGCUGAGAAGCCCAGACCUAGAUAAGCAGACACAAAUUGGAGCAAGUCAGUGAGUCAUGUUAAGCUCUGCCGUUGGAUUAUUUAGCACCACUGCGCUCGAGGGACGUACCCCUGCUCUACGCUGGUGUUGGGCCGCUGUCCUGAGACUGAUUCGGAGCUGUCUGCGAGGGAGGGGACAACUGCCAGAAACCUACAAACAGAGAAGUCAAGAUCUAUCAGUCCAAAGAAGAUUUCACCACAAAAUCUGAGAACGUUUUCAGCAGGACAAGACCAUAAACAUAUUUACCUCUGAUAGACUUUAUUUCUGACACCCUUCUGGAAAGCCAGGAGGUAAUUUCGCCCAUCGCCUGAAAACACCUCCACUGCCAUUGGCUGUAAUAUAGAAGAAAGAGAAUCAUUGAACAUCAUGGGUAACCAUUAACAAAUUCUAGGAGGAAACCAGGUUGUGAUAAAACAGAAGCUCCUCUCCUCACCUGCAGCAGGUAGCGGCGCUUGUGCACCUCUUUAAUAUCCUCGUAUGCGAAGAUACUGCAGGAUCUCUUCAGCUGACUCUGGCUCUGUCGGGCCCCUCUGGGGAUAAUCGGCUCGUGCAGGCUGGAACAAUCAGACGUACUGUUUAACACAAUGCUCCUCAAUGAGGGAACGGUUCUGUCUGAACUACUUGUGCUUGUGAUUCUAAUAGCCCUCUGUUUUGAGCGUCCUCUGAAAAAUCUCUGUUUGAAGGUCCAUGUAGCCUUAACACUUCCCCCUACCCCUUUAGCCUAACAAGAAUCAGGACACCCUUCCACUACACGUUUACAUUCAAAACCAAAAGGUAGGGCUAAGUGAAGGCAAUCUACCCUCCCAGAGAGAGCAAGGUAAACUGAGCUCUCUCUCUCAGACUCUGGCUGCUGAUGGCAAGCAACAUGAUGCAGGGUUCGUCAUCCCUGCUUGUGACUCACUUUGCAGGAAGUGUCUCAAUGUCCCUGAUCUCUCUGGUGACCGUCAUGGUGAAGCCAUCAAUAAC
This 1425-nucleotide long non-coding RNA is filed under the name Astyanax mexicanus (Mexican tetra). RNAcentral's name for it is "lncRNA (ENSAMXG00005015099.1)". Lineage: Eukaryota; Metazoa; Chordata; Actinopteri; Characiformes; Acestrorhamphidae. The record is from RNAcentral.